Molecule: ribosomal RNA, 508 nt
Filed under: uncultured bacterium
Lineage: Bacteria
Description: bacterial SSU rRNA
Rfam family: Bacterial small subunit ribosomal RNA
Source: RNAcentral
AUGGCUCAGGAUGAACGCUAGCGACAGGCCUAACACAUGCAAGGUCGAGGGGCAGCGCGGGAGAAGCUUGCUUUCCUGGCGGCGACCGGCGCACGGGUGCGUAACAGGUGUGCAAUCUGUCCAUAGUCGGGGGAUAGCCCAGCGAAAGCUGAAUUAACACUCCAUGUGAAUCGAAGCCGCAUGACUUUGAUUUGAAACGCAAGGACUAUGGGUGGGCACGCUUCUGAUUAGGUAGUUGGUGGGGUAACGGCCCACCAAGCCGACGAUCAGUAGGGGUUCUGAGAGGAAGGUCCCCCACAUUGGAACUGAGACACGGUCCAAACUCCUACGGGAGGCAGCAGUGAGGAAUAUUGGUCAAUGGGCGAGAGCCUGAACCAGCCAAGUCGCCGUGAAGGAUGAAGGUUCUAUGGAUUGUAAACUUCUUUUGUCCGAGGGUAAAAAAGGCCACGUGUGGCUUCUUGCAAGUAUCGGACGAAUAAGCAUCGGCUAACUCCGUGCCAGCCGCGGC